GAUGAACGCUGGCGGCGUGCCUAAUACAUGCAAGUCGAGCGAGAAAUCACAUUGCUAAUUCUUCGGAAGAAGUAAAGUGAUGGAAAGCGGCGGACGGGUGAGUAACGCGUAGGCAACCUGCCUCUCACAGGGGGAUAGCCAUCGGAAACGGUGAUUAAUACCCCAUAAAGUCAAAAUAACACAUGUUAAGCUGACCAAAGAUUUAUCGGUGAGAGAUGGGCCUGCGUCUGAUUAACUAGUUGGUGAGGUAACGGCUCACCAAGGUGACGAUCAGUAGCCGACCUGAGAGGGUGAACGGCCACAUUGGAACUGAGACACGGUCCAAACUUCUGCGGAAGGCAGCAGUAGGGAAUCUUGCACAAUGGGCGAAAGCCUGAUGCAGCAACGCCGCGUGAAGGAAGAAGGCCUUAGGGUCGUAAACUUCUGUUCUUGGGGAAGAACAAAUGACGGU
RNAcentral lists this ribosomal RNA (451 nucleotides) under uncultured bacterium. Its description in RNAcentral is "bacterial SSU rRNA". It matches the Rfam family "Bacterial small subunit ribosomal RNA", at positions 28 to 476 of the family's 1533-position model. The record is from RNAcentral.